Non-coding RNA from Aedes albopictus (Asian tiger mosquito), 58 nucleotides. The record is from Rfam. NCBI's taxonomy places the organism in Eukaryota, Metazoa, Arthropoda, Insecta, Diptera, Culicidae.
UAGCUUAGUGGUUAAGGCUAUGGAUCGCCAAUCCGAAGACGGCGGGUUUGAUUCCCGU